Molecule: ribosomal RNA, 254 nt
Filed under: uncultured bacterium
Lineage: Bacteria
Description: partial 16S ribosomal RNA
Rfam family: Bacterial small subunit ribosomal RNA
Source: RNAcentral
GUCCACGCCGUAAACGAUGGAUACUAGCUGUUGGGGCAACUUCAGUGGCUAAGCGAAAGUGAUAAGUAUCCCACCUGGGGAGUACGUUCGCAAGAAUGAAACUCAAAAGGAAUUGACGGGGGCCCGCACAAGCGGUGGAGCAUGUGGUUUAAUCGAUGAUACGCGAGGAACCUUACCAAGGCUUAAAUGUAGAUUGACCGGUUUGGAAACAGACUUUUCGCAAGACAAUUUACAAGGUGCUGCAUGGUUGUCGU